GACGAACGCUGGCGGCGUGCUUAACACAUGCAAGUCGAACGGAAAGGCCUCUUUCGGGGGGUACUCGAGUGGCGAACGGGUGAGUAACACGUGAGUAACCUGCCCUUGACUUUGGGAUAACUUCAGGAAACUGGGGCUAAUACCGGAUAGGAGCUCCUGCUGCAUGGUGGGGGUUGGAAAGUUUCGGCGGUUGGGGAUGGACUCGCGGCUUAUCAGCUUGUUGGUGGGGUAGUGGCUUACCAAGGCUUUGACGGGUAGCCGGCCUGAGAGGGUGACCGGUCACAUUGGGACUGAGAUACGGCCCAGACUCCUACGGGAGGCAGCAGUGGGGAAUAUUGCACAAUGGGUGGAAGCCUGAUGCAGCAACGCCGUGUGCGGGAUGACGGCCUUCGGGUUGUAAACCGCUUUCGCCUGUGACGAAGCGUGAGUGACGGUAAUGGGUAAAGAAGCACCGGCUAACUACGUG
Molecule: ribosomal RNA, 466 nt
Filed under: uncultured bacterium
Lineage: Bacteria
Description: partial 16S ribosomal RNA
Rfam family: Bacterial small subunit ribosomal RNA
Source: RNAcentral